UACGGAAGGGGCAAGCGUUGUUCGGAAUCAUUGGGCGUAAAGAGCGCGCAGGCGGUCGUUCAAGUCGCGUGUGAAAGCAUGCGGCUCAACCGCAUAGGGUCGGUAGAAACUGCAAGACUCGAGGCUGGGAGGGGCUGGUGGAAUUCCCUGUGUAGCGGUGAAAUGCGUAGAUAUAGGGGAGAACACUCGUGGCGAAGGCGGCCAGCUAGACCAGUCCUGACGCUGAGGCGCGACAGCGUGGGGAGCAAACAGG
RNAcentral lists this ribosomal RNA (253 nucleotides) under uncultured bacterium. RNAcentral's name for it is "partial 16S ribosomal RNA". It matches the Rfam family "Bacterial small subunit ribosomal RNA", at positions 524 to 776 of the family's 1533-position model. The record is from RNAcentral.